This 1302-nucleotide ribosomal RNA is filed under the name Triticum aestivum (bread wheat). RNAcentral describes it as "partial small subunit ribosomal RNA". Lineage: Eukaryota; Viridiplantae; Streptophyta; Magnoliopsida; Poales; Poaceae. The record is from RNAcentral.
AUGUCAAACCUCCCUGCCGCCGCCGCUUCCAGGCGCUCGGGCCAUCGCCCCUGGGUGCUCACCGACGCCAAGUGCCACAUCGGCGACCGCAACAACGCGACCACCGCGCACGCCGUCACCAGCCAAGGGAGCGACAUCAAGGUGACCUUCGAGCUUGCAGACCCGCCCGGCGUCUCUCGCUGCUUCGUCCACUGCCCCAGCCUCGCGGGGAGCCGCUACGGGGGAGAUCCCGUGGUUCUGAGCUCUGCGGGCGCCUUUGUCCUUCUCGUUGUAACUUUCAAGCACGGCCCCAGGCCAGGUCCAGGGGCUCCAUCUGUACGGCGGAGAUCCCGUGGUUCUCAGUUGGGCGGACGCGGGGAGCACAACGAUUUCUUCGUCUACAGGGCAGGUCCAGGUGCUCCAUCUCUCCGCCUUCUCCCUGGCAUCGGCCCCUACUGCUGUCCCGAUGUAGUCACUCUGGCUGGCGUCAUGCCCCUCGGUGGCGCCGAUCUCAACAGCAAAGACUACGCAGUGGUUUUCCCCUCGCUAUUAAAACCUUGGUCGCGAAACACCAACGACUCUACAGAGUACAUCCUCCACGUGUAUCUAUCGGAUACCUCUAAGUGGGAGUGGCGCAACCUCAAGGUGUCCAAAGACCACAAUCCCGAGGUAAUAAUGCAGCACGAAGGCACACGCGUGAUCUUCGCCGGAAGGGGAACACUUAGCUGGGUCAAUCAUUGGCAUGGCAUUCUUCUAUGCAACGUGCUCGACCGGUAUCCGGUCAUGCGUUUGAUCCAAUGGCCUGUUCCGAUACCUUGCGAUCUGGUGUCGCGGUUCGGCAUGGGAGUCGACAGUAUCUACACAUGGUCGUUCCAUGACGUCGCUAUAAGCAAUGGCGUAAUCAGGUUUGUCGAGCUGAAAUCUUGUCGGUGUAGCGACACCCACAAUGAGAAAGGGGUCAUUGGCCAAGGCUGGACGGUCACCACAUGGAACAGGGGGAUCUACUCAAACAAGUGGGACAAGAAGUUCACUGUCAAGGCUGAUAAUGUGCUUGUCACGGGUUCAAGUUACCCGAAGGUAUCGGGUGGCAAGAGGUUGAGUUGGGAUAAGGUGGUUCACGGUGGGCCCACUCUGAGCUUGUGUGACGACGAUGUUGUCUACAUCGUGGCUAGACUGGACAUCCGGUCCGCGGUUGCAUGGAUGCUUGCCAUUAACAUAAGAGAGGGAACACUGGAAGCCGUCCAGCAGUGUUCUGCGGAUAAGAUGCUCGCUCUUGAACCGACUUAUGUUCAGUGUGCCUUGUCCAACUACAUCAAGCAGUAG